GACGAACGCUGGCGGCGUGCUUAACACAUGCAAGUCGAACGGAAAGGCCCUGCUUUUGUGUGGUGCUCGAGUGGCGAACGGGUGAGUAACACGUGAGUAACCUGCCCUUGACUUUGGGAUAACUUCAGGAAACUGGGGCUAAUACCGGAUAGGAGCUCCUGCUGCAUGGUGGGGGUUGGAAAGUUUCGGCGGUUGGGGAUGGACUCGCGGCUUAUCAGCUUGUUGGUGGGGUAGUGGCUUACCAAGGCUUUGACGGGUAGCCGGCCUGAGAGGGUGACCGGCCACAUUGGGACUGAGAUACGGCACAGACUCCUACGGGAGGCAGCAGUGGGGAAUAUUGCACAAUGGGCGGAAGCCUGAUGCAGCAACGCCGCGUGCGGGAUGACGGCCUUCGGGUUGUAAACCGCUUUCGCCUGUGACGAAGCGUGAGUGACGGUAAUGGGUAAAGAAGCACCGGCUAACUACGUG
This 468-nucleotide ribosomal RNA is filed under the name uncultured bacterium. RNAcentral describes it as "partial 16S ribosomal RNA". It matches the Rfam family "Bacterial small subunit ribosomal RNA", at positions 28 to 507 of the family's 1533-position model. The record is from RNAcentral.